UGUAUAUUAAAAUUAAAUAAUAUUCGAAAUAAAAAACACGUAACUCGUUGUGUAUUGUGUGUAAUAUUAUUAUUUUAUAGUACAAACACACAGUGGACGCGUGUAUGUGGAGAUCAUCAAACCAUAAUAAUUAUGAUUUAUUAUUUAAUAGUAGUAAAGCAUGAACUUUUAACAUUCUUAUCUAAUAUUAAAUAAUAAUCAAUGAAACAACCAUUUAUUAAACGAAAAAAAAUUCUUCAGGUAAACUUCUGCACGUUUUCAAAAAAUAAACGACUUAAGCAUACAAAAGAAAAACCAAGGAUUUGCGUUCAGUGUACACCACUAUUACAUUGUUCAUCCGAAAAUGGCAAUUUUUCUUUUAAUCCAAUACACAACAAUUCACGUGUAUCAGCAGUUCUUCAGGUCUCACAUAUGCUGGACGGUUUAUUUUUCGAAACUAAAGGCCUAGCCCAUUCAACAAACUCAUCAAUCAAGACUGGCCAAGCUCCUUCCUGAUCAUAGUCUAGCAUUUCAUCAUCAAUAACACAAGAAAAUUCUAAUAAAAGAUUCCAUGUAUCCCGAGGUAUUGAUUUAUUGUGAUGUUCCUGUAAAAUUAAUAAAAUAAAAAGAAUUAAUGUUUGUAAAGGUGAACA
Long non-coding RNA from Adelges cooleyi (spruce gall adelgid), 632 nucleotides. RefSeq lists it as uncharacterized. NCBI's taxonomy places the organism in Eukaryota, Metazoa, Arthropoda, Insecta, Hemiptera, Adelgidae. The record is from RefSeq and is a predicted model, not a curated record. The transcript is spliced from 3 exons.